UGCAAAUUUGGUCCAUGUUAUAUGUAAAAAUUGAUGUUUGAUCUAGAAUAUUUUAGAGUUAUACCAUGGCCCAAAAUAAAAAUUUUAUUGUAGUUUUGGUCCUUAAAUAUAUUUAAUUGAGUCAGAAUGUCUGUUUUGUCAUUUUUUAGAGUUGUUGUUAUUAUUAUUAUUUCAUUUAUUUUUUAAAUGAAUAAUAAAAUAAAAAUUCCUAAUCUCAUCCUCUGUCUCUCUUUCUCUACUCUCUCUCUCUCUCUCUCUAUCUCUCUCUCACUCUAAAAAACAACAUUCGAGACAAACAUUUCUCCUUUUUUCUUCUUUGUCCCCUCCAAACGCACACACAAACACAUAAAAAAAAUUCUCCAUUUUCAGGGACGAGAUCGGAGACAUGACCCGAUUUUGGAGACAAACAUUUCUCCGGCAAUGCUAGGGCUUGCUUUAACAGUCGGCUUCGACUCCAUCAUGUGUGACUUGAAGGCAACUCAUCUGAGGAGGAACCCAUCGUCUGGGAUGAUUUUUAGGUGGAGAUUGAGGUGGGUGGUAGUUGCGGAUGGUGGUGAUGGUGGACGGUGGUCGAAUGGUGGUGGUGGCAGAAUAUGUUUUUGAGUUCAUGAAGAUAUUCUUGAGUGCUCUUGAAUUUAUGAUGAUGUUCUUGAGUGUUAUCAAAACAAACUCGGAUGGAGAGAGAGAGAGAGAGAGAGAGAGAGAGAGAGAGAGAGAGAGAGAGAGAGAGAGAGAGAGAGAGAGAGAGAGAGAGAGAGAGAGAGAGA
This is a non-coding RNA of Lactuca sativa (garden lettuce), 767 nucleotides long. NCBI's taxonomy places the organism in Eukaryota, Viridiplantae, Streptophyta, Magnoliopsida, Asterales, Asteraceae. The record is from RefSeq and is a predicted model, not a curated record.